AGGGUGCCAUCCGCUAUUGCUAGCAAUGGCAAAUCUAGUUAUUAUUAUUUUUCUUGCAACACAUUUUGUCCAGGUGAUUUCUCGAAAUCCAAUGGACCAAUGUUGAUGGAACUCUACUAUAGUGAGGACCCCCAUGUCAAGUUGUGCACGAAGCAUGGAAUGGUUUAAGAUGGCUGCCGUUACCAUGGAAACGGAACAAAUGUGGAAAAAUCC
This 213-nucleotide long non-coding RNA is filed under the name Mytilus galloprovincialis (Mediterranean mussel). Lineage: Eukaryota; Metazoa; Mollusca; Bivalvia; Mytilida; Mytilidae. The record is from RNAcentral.